RNAcentral lists this transfer RNA (82 nucleotides) under Pandoraea pneumonica. RNAcentral describes it as "Pandoraea sp. LMG 31114 tRNA-Gly". The record is from RNAcentral. Lineage: Bacteria; Pseudomonadati; Pseudomonadota; Betaproteobacteria; Burkholderiales; Burkholderiaceae.
UGCCGUACUAGGCGAUGACGUGAUGCGCGUCACUGCCGAUGGCGCGAAUGACACGCUGGCGUUCGAUGCGUUGCUCGACACC